RNAcentral lists this ribosomal RNA (497 nucleotides) under uncultured bacterium. Its description in RNAcentral is "partial 16S ribosomal RNA". It matches the Rfam family "Bacterial small subunit ribosomal RNA", at positions 28 to 507 of the family's 1533-position model. The record is from RNAcentral.
GACGAACGCUGGCGGCGUGCCUAAUACAUGCAAGUUGAGCGAUGAAGCUUGGUGCUUGCGCCAAUUUGAAGAGCAGCGAACGGGUGAGUAACGCGUGGGGAAUCUGCCUUUGAGCGGGGGACAACAUUUGGAAACGAAUGCUAAUACCGCAUAACAACUUUAAACAUAAGUUUUAAGUUUGAAAGAUGCAAUUGCAUCACUCAAAGAUGAUCCCGCGUUGUAUUAGCUAGUUGGUGAGGUAAAGGCGCACCAAGGCGAUGAUACAUAGCCGACCUGAGAGGGUGAGCGGCCGGAUUGGGACGGAGACACGGCCCAAACGCCUACAGGAGGCGGCAGUAGGGCAUCUUCGGCCAGGGGCGAAAGUCUGACCGAGCAACGCCGCGGGAGGAAAGAAGGGUGUCGGAUCGGAAAACUCGGUUGGUAGAGAAGAACGUUGGUGAGAGUGGAAAGCUCAUCAAGUGACGGUAACUACCCAGAAAGGGACGGCUAACUACGUG